RNAcentral lists this ribosomal RNA (253 nucleotides) under uncultured bacterium. RNAcentral describes it as "partial 16S ribosomal RNA". It matches the Rfam family "Bacterial small subunit ribosomal RNA", at positions 524 to 776 of the family's 1533-position model. The record is from RNAcentral.
UACGGAGGGGGCAAGCGUUGUUCGGAAUUACUGGGCGUAAAGGGCUCGUAGGCGGCCAACUAAGUCAGAGGUGAAAUCCCCAGGCUCAACCUGGGAACUGCGUCUGAUACUGGAUGGCUUGAAUUCGGGAGAGGGAUGCGGAAUUCCAGGUGUAGCGGUGAAAUGCGUAGAUAUCUGGAGGAACACCGGUGGCGAAGGCGGCAUCCUGGACCGACACUGACACUGAGGAGCGAAAGCCAGGGGAGCAAACGGG